RNAcentral lists this ribosomal RNA (468 nucleotides) under uncultured bacterium. RNAcentral describes it as "partial 16S ribosomal RNA". It matches the Rfam family "Bacterial small subunit ribosomal RNA", at positions 28 to 507 of the family's 1533-position model. The record is from RNAcentral.
GAUGAACGCUGGCGGCGUGCUUAACACAUGCAAGUCGAACGGUGAAGGCGGAGCUUGCUCUGCUGGAUCAGUGGCGAACGGGUGAGUAACACGUGAGCAAUCUGCCCCUGACUCUGGGAUAAGCGCUGGAAACGGCGUCUAAUACUGGAUACGAGCUGCGAAGGCAUCUUCAGCAGCUGGAAAGAACUUCGGUCAGGGAUGAGCUCGCGGCCUAUCAGCUUGUUGGUGAGGUAACGGCUCACCAAGGCGUCGACGGGUAGCCGGCCUGAGAGGGUGACCGGCCACACUGGGACUGAGACACGGCCCAGACUCCUACGGGAGGCAGCAGUGGGGAAUAUUGCACAAUGGGCGAAAGCCUGAUGCAGCGACGCCGCGUGAGGGACGACGGCCUUCGGGUUGUAAACCUCUUUUAGCAGGGAAGAAGCGAAAGUGACGGUACCUGCAGAAAAAGCGCCGGCUAACUACGUG